GACUGGUGACAGAGUGAGAGAGGGGGUGACUAGUGACAGAGUGAAAGAGGGGGUGACUGUCACUAGUCAUCCCAUCCCUCACUCUUUCACUAGUCACCCCCUCUCUCACUCUGUCACUAGUCAC
RNAcentral lists this microRNA precursor (124 nucleotides) under Pelobates cultripes (western spadefoot toad). The record is from RNAcentral. Lineage: Eukaryota; Metazoa; Chordata; Amphibia; Anura; Pelobatidae.